RNAcentral lists this transfer RNA (69 nucleotides) under Rattus norvegicus (Norway rat). It matches the Rfam family "tRNA". From Rfam's summary of the family: Transfer RNA (tRNA) molecules are approximately 80 nucleotides in length. Their secondary structure includes four short double-helical elements and three loops (D, anti-codon, and T loops). Lineage: Eukaryota; Metazoa; Chordata; Mammalia; Rodentia; Muridae. The record is from Rfam by way of RNAcentral.
GGGGAUUUAGCUUAGCGGUAGAGCGCUUGCCUAGCAAGCACAAGGCCCUGGGUUCGGUCCCCAGCUCUG